This 468-nucleotide ribosomal RNA is filed under the name uncultured bacterium. RNAcentral describes it as "partial 16S ribosomal RNA". It matches the Rfam family "Bacterial small subunit ribosomal RNA", at positions 28 to 507 of the family's 1533-position model. The record is from RNAcentral.
GACGAACGCUGGCGGCGUGCUUAACACAUGCAAGUCGAACGGAAAGGCCCUGCUUUUGUGGGGUGCUCGAGUGGCGAACGGGUGAGUAACACGUGAGUAACCUGCCCUUGACUUUGGGAUAACUUCAGGAAACUGGGGCUAAUACCGGAUAGGAGCUCCUGCUGCAUGGUGGGGGUUGGAAAGUUUCGGCGGUUGGGGAUGGACUCGCGGCUUAUCAGCUUGUUUGUGGGGUAGUGGCUUACCAAGGCUUUGACGGGUAGCCGGCCUGAGAGGGUGAACGGCCACAUUGGGACUGAGAUACGGCCCAGACUCCUACGGGAGGCAGCAGUGGGGAAUAUUGCACAAUGGGCGGAAGCCUGAGGCAGCAACGCCGCGUGCGGGAUGACGGCCUUCGGGUUGUAAACCGCUUUCGCCUGUGACGAAGCGUGAGUGACGGUAAUGGGUAAAGAAGCACCGGCUAACUACGUG